UUUUUUUUUUUUUUUUUGUUUUGAGACAGGGUUUCUCUGUGUAGUCCUGGCUGUCAUGUGUGGCUGUUGUUUUGUUUCUUGAUUUUAUUGCUUACUAUUUUUAACUCCAUGUACUUGGUUAUUAUUUUUUGUGAACUUUCAAAGGGACUAGUAUCCAGAAUAUGGGAAGAUUACCCCAAACAGAAAUUCAAACCCAUAAAUAAUUAUACAUGAGGAAAUGACUUGAAUAGGAAUAUCAUGGAAAAGAGUAUAUGGUGUAUAGAGUAUAGUAUAGAGUAUAUAGAGUAUAAAGGUGACAAAUGGGUACAAUAACACUUGCCAUAAGAAAAUAAAUAGAAAGUAAAAUUUUGAAUGUUUACUACCUAACAAACUGGUUAAAUUAAAAAAAAAGAAGAAGUAAUGGUGUUGUUAAAAGCUAAAAAAAGGCUCCAGUGGAUUACAGAUUGCUAAUGUAUUGCUAGUAGGAAUGGAUGAUGGCCCAACCAUUCUCAAAACCAAUAUGAUACAGAUAUGACCUAGCACCUCUAAUCUCGAGCAUUUAUCUAAUUAAGGCAAAUUUUUGUGAAAUGAAAAUUAUAAGGUUCUAAUAAUGAGUACUUAGAGUCAAAUUCAAAUCAAACCAAGGGGCCAAUUUAAAACAAAUUUUCAUGCAUCCUUAUCAUUAAAUAAGUAUUAGUCAGUGAAAAAAAUUCUAAACACUAAUACUUACAAUUCUAAAUGACACCAUGUGACCAGCUCAAUUUCGUAUUCAACACAAUGGGGGAGAGGCAUCAAACCCUGACACUAUUACUGAUGCUAUAAUAUGCUUACAGACAGGAGCCUAGCAUGGCUGUCCUCUGAGAGUUUCUGUCAACACCUAACUAAGACAGAUACAGAUACACCAAACUUUUAAACUGAAGUCGGGGACCCCUACAGAAGAAUUAGGGGAAGAACUUAAGGAGCUGAAGGGGCAACCCCAUAAGAAGACCAACUGUCUCAACUAACCUGGACCCCUGGGAUCUCCUAGAACUAAGCUACCAAGCAAAGAGCAUACAUGGACUGGUCUAAGGCCCCCAGCACAUAUAUAGCAGAGGCUUUGUCUGCCUUCAGUAGGAAUGGAUAUGGAUGUACCUAAUCCUGUAUAGAUUUGACUCCCCCAGAAAGGGGAAUGCUGGUGAGCGCCACUCUCUCAGAGGCAAAGGGGAAGGGGAAUGGGAUGAAGAACUGUGGGAGAGGGAACUGAGAGGUAGGGGACAAUGUCUAGAAUAUAAAUAAAUAAAAUAACUAAUUAAAAACUCAAAGCAUUUACUUUUCAAAAUCUUAGUAUGAUGUGGCUAUACAUAUUAGAAUAGAGUUCUCAUAGGCUAAGGCUAGGAAAAGAGUUAUCCUAUGUAGUUGUUAUCAUGCCAGAAUACUUUGUAUCAAUAGUAGAUAUUGGUGCACGCUGGGACACAGAAGUAUUCAAAUUCAUGAAUGUGCAUAUAGAAAAACUUGAAUAAACUCUGAAUUGUACUAACAAUUUCAAGAUUCAAUAUUUUACUGUAGCUGUAUAAGAUGUUUUCUUUGGGAGAGGUACAAUGAAGUUUGUAAUGCUAUCCCAGAGUAUUUGAUUUUGCUGACCAUGCAGCAAUUUUAUCAUUAAUCUACCAUUUGU
This 1633-nucleotide long non-coding RNA is filed under the name Mus musculus (house mouse). RNAcentral's name for it is "long non-coding RNA chrX:82961908-82963541". Lineage: Eukaryota; Metazoa; Chordata; Mammalia; Rodentia; Muridae. The record is from RNAcentral.